UAAACUAGGAUUAGAUACCCUAUUAUUUUAAAUGUAAAUAAAUACCAAGGUAGUAAUAAUUAUUUUUUAAACCUAAAGAAUUUGGCGGUGUUUUAGUCUUUUCAGAGGAACUUGUUCAAUAAUCGAUAAUCCCCGUUUUAUCUUACCUAAAUUAGUAGUAUGUAUACCGCCGUUAUAAGUUUAUUUUUUUAGAAUAUUUAUUUACUUUAUAAUAGAUUUUUUUAUAUUUCA
RNAcentral lists this ribosomal RNA (231 nucleotides) under Prisomera spinicollis. RNAcentral describes it as "partial 12S ribosomal RNA". Lineage: Eukaryota; Metazoa; Arthropoda; Insecta; Phasmatodea; Lonchodidae. The record is from RNAcentral.